This 231-nucleotide long non-coding RNA is filed under the name Bos indicus x Bos taurus (hybrid cattle). RNAcentral's name for it is "lncRNA (ENSBIXG00000025654.1)". The record is from RNAcentral. Lineage: Eukaryota; Metazoa; Chordata; Mammalia; Artiodactyla; Bovidae.
GGACAAGUGGCUCUGGACAGAGCAGUGGCAAUUUAAUGAGUAGAAAUCCUCCAUGUUCUAUUUUUAGGAAAACAGGAGGAAAUGCCUGGUCUGAAACUCUUCGGUAUCAAAACAAAAUUUCUCUAUUCAAAAGUUGAAGAAAAGGACACUUUAAAAUAGCCUGCCAACCCAGAGGGAGAGCUUCACAUCAGACCUCCCAACAUACUGUAGCUGGAAGUCAGUAAGGAUUCC